GAUGAACGCUGGCGGCGUGCCUAAUACAUGCAAGUCGAGCGAACAGACGAGGAGCUUGCUCCUCUGACGUUAGCGGCGGACGGGUGAGUAACACGUGGAUAACCUACCUAUAAGACUGGGAUAACUUCGGGAAACCGGAGCUAAUACCGGAGAAUAUAUUGAACCGCAGGGUUCAAUAGUGAAAGACGGUGUUGGGGGCACUUAUAGAUGGAUCCGCGCCGCAUUAGCUAGUUGGUAAGGUAAAGGCUUACCAAGGCAACGAUGCGUAGCCGACCUGUGAGGGUGAUCGCCCACCCUGGAACGUAGCCACGGUCCAGACUCCUACGGGAGGCAGCAGUCGGGAAUCUUCCGCAAUGGGCGAAAGCCUUACGGAGCAACGCCGCGUGAGUGAUGACGGUCUUCGGAUCGUAAAACUCUGUUAUUAGGGAAGAACAAAUGUGUAAGUAACUAUGCACGUCUUGACGGUACCUAAUCAGAAAGCCACGGCUAACUACGUG
RNAcentral lists this ribosomal RNA (497 nucleotides) under uncultured bacterium. RNAcentral describes it as "partial 16S ribosomal RNA". It matches the Rfam family "Bacterial small subunit ribosomal RNA", at positions 28 to 507 of the family's 1533-position model. The record is from RNAcentral.